UUAAGCGACUAAGCGUACACGGUGGAUGCCCUGGCAGUCAGAGGCGAUGAAGGACGUGCUAAUCUGCGAAAAGCGCCGGCGAGGUGAUAUGAACCUUUGACCCGGCGAUGUCCGAAUGGGGAAACCCAGUGUGAUUCGUCACACUAUCGUUAACUGAAUACAUAGGUUAACGAGGCGAACCGGGGGAACUGAAACAUCUAAGUACCCCGAGGAAAAGAAAUCAACCGAGAUUCCCCCAGUAGCGGCGAGCGAACGGGGAGCAGCCCGGAGUCUGAAUCAGCUUGUGUGUUAGUGGAACGGUCUGGAAAGUCCGACGGUACAGGGUGAUAGUCCCGUACACGAAAAUGCACAGGUUGUGAACUCGAAGAGUAGGGCGGGACACGUGGUAUCCUGUCUGAAUAUGGGGGGACCAUCCUCCAAGGCUAAAUACUCCUGACUGACCGAUAGUGAACCAGUACCGUGAGGGAAAGGCGAAAAGAACCCCGGCGAGGGGAGUGAAAAAGAACCUGAAACCGUGUACGUACAAGCAGUGGGAGCCUCUUUUAUGGGGUGACUGCGUACCUUUUGUAUAAUGGGUCAGCGACUUAUAUUCUGUAGCAAGGUUAACCGAAUAGGGGAGCCGAAGGGAAACCGAGUCUUAACUGGGCGUUAAGUUGCAGGGUAUAGACCCGAAACCCGGUGAUCUAGCCAUGGGCAGGUUGAAGGUUGGGUAACACUAACUGGAGGACCGAACCGACUAAUGUUGAAAAAUUAGCGGAUGACCUGUGGCUGGGGGUGAAAGGCCAAUCAAACCGGGAGAUAGCUGGUUCUCCCCGAAAGCUAUUUAGGUAGCGCCUCGUGAACUCAUCUUCGGGGGUAGAGCACUGUUUCGGCUAGGGGGCCAUCCCGGCUUACCAACCCGAUGCAAACUACGAAUACCGAAGAAUGUUAUCACGGGAGACACACGGCGGGUGCUAACGUCCGUCGUGAAGAGGGAAACAACCCAGACCGCCAGCUAAGGUCCCAAAGUCAUGGUUAAGUGGGAAACGAUGUGGGAAGGCACAGACAGCCAGGAUGUUGGCUUAGAAGCAGCCAUCAUUUAAAGAAAGCGUAAUAGCUCACUGGUCGAGUCGGCCUGCGCGGAAGAUGUAACGGGGCUAAACCAUGCACCGAAGCUGCGGCAGCGACGCUUAUGCGUUGUUGGGUAGGGGAGCGUUCUGUAAGCCGUUGAAGGUGGCCUGUGAGGGUUGCUGGAGGUAUCAGAAGUGCGAAUGCUGACAUAAGUAACGAUAAAGCGGGUGAAAAGCCCGCUCGCCGGAAGACCAAGGGUUCCUGUCCAACGUUAAUCGGGGCAGGGUGAGUCGACCCCUAAGGCGAGGCCGAAAGGCGUAGUCGAUGGGAAACAGGUUAAUAUUCCUGUACUUGGUGUUACUGCGAAGGGGGGACGGAGAAGGCUAUGUUAGCCGGGCGACGGUUGUCCCGGUUUAAGCAUGUAGGCGGAGGUUCCAGGUAAAUCCGGUACCUUAUUAACGCUGAGGUGUGAUGACGAGGCACUACGGUGCUGAAGUAACAAAUGCCCUGCUUCCAGGAAAAGCCUCUAAGCAUCAGGUAACACGAAAUCGUACCCCAAACCGACACAGGUGGUCAGGUAGAGAAUACCAAGGCGCUUGAGAGAACUCGGGUGAAGGAACUAGGCAAAAUGGUGCCGUAACUUCGGGAGAAGGCACGCUGAUAUGUAGGUGAAGCCCCUGCGGGUGGAGCUGAAAUCAGUCGAAGAUACCAGCUGGCUGCAACUGUUUAUUAAAAACACAGCACUGUGCAAACACGAAAGUGGACGUAUACGGUGUGACGCCUGCCCGGUGCCGGAAGGUUAAUUGAUGGGGUUAGCGGCAACGCGAAGCUCUUGAUCGAAGCCCCGGUAAACGGCGGCCGUAACUAUAACGGUCCUAAGGUAGCGAAAUUCCUUGUCGGGUAAGUUCCGACCUGCACGAAUGGCGUAAUGAUGGCCAGGCUGUCUCCACCCGAGACUCAGUGAAAUUGAACUCGCUGUGAAGAUGCAGUGUACCCGCGGCAAGACGGAAAGACCCCGUGAACCUUUACUAUAGCUUGACACUGAACACUGGUCCUUGAUGUGUAGGAUAGGUGGGAGGCUUUGAAGCGUGGACGCCAGUCUGCGUGGAGCCGACCUUGAAAUACCACCCUUUAAUGGCUGGUGUUCUAACGUAGACCCGUAAUCCGGGUUGCGGACAGUGUCUGGUGGGUAGUUUGACUGGGGCGGUCUCCUCCCAAAGAGUAACGGAGGAGCACGAAGGUUAGCUAAUCCUGGUCGGACAUCAGGAGGUUAGUGCAAUGGCAUAAGCUAGCUUGACUGCGAGAGUGACGGCUCGAGCAGGUGCGAAAGCAGGUCAUAGUGAUCCGGUGGUUCUGAAUGGAAGGGCCAUCGCUCAACGGAUAAAAGGUACUCCGGGGAUAACAGGCUGAUACCGCCCAAGAGUUCAUAUCGACGGCGGUGUUUGGCACCUCGAUGUCGGCUCAUCACAUCCUGGGGCUGAAGUAGGUCCCAAGGGUAUGGCUGUUCGCCAUUUAAAGUGGUACGCGAGCUGGGUUUAGAACGUCGUGAGACAGUUCGGUCCCUAUCUGCCGUGGGCGCUGGAGAAUUGAGGGGGGCUGCUCCUAGUACGAGAGGACCGGAGUGGACGCAUCACUGGUGUUCGGGUUGUCAUGCCAAUGGCACUGCCCGGUAGCUAAAUGCGGAAGAGAUAAGUGCUGAAAGCAUCUAAGCACGAAACUUGCCCCGAGAUGAGUUCUCCCUGAGACUAUAAGUCUCCUGAAGGAACGUUGAAGACGACGACGUUGAUAGGUCGGGUGUGUAAGCGCAGCGAUGCGUUGAGCUAACCGAUACUAAUGAACCGUGAGGCUUAACCU
RNAcentral lists this ribosomal RNA (2904 nucleotides) under Enterobacter kobei. RNAcentral's name for it is "23S ribosomal RNA". It matches the Rfam family "Bacterial large subunit ribosomal RNA". The record is from RNAcentral. Lineage: Bacteria; Pseudomonadati; Pseudomonadota; Gammaproteobacteria; Enterobacterales; Enterobacteriaceae.